ACCUUGGCUGUAGACUGUUUAC
Molecule: microRNA, 22 nt
Filed under: Otolemur garnettii (small-eared galago)
Lineage: Eukaryota; Metazoa; Chordata; Mammalia; Primates; Galagidae
Description: oga-miR-212
Gene: oga-miR-212
Source: miRBase by way of RNAcentral